Zingiber officinale is the source of this 2381-nucleotide long non-coding RNA. RefSeq lists it as uncharacterized. The record is from RefSeq and is a predicted model, not a curated record. The transcript has 2 exons. NCBI's taxonomy places the organism in Eukaryota, Viridiplantae, Streptophyta, Magnoliopsida, Zingiberales, Zingiberaceae.
AGAAUGUCACACUAGUACUAAUUUAGCGACGACAAGUUAAAACCUAAAAUUCGUCUUGCCUUCCCUCCCCAAAUUCCCCGAUGCUCUAACUCUCUUCCCCCUCUUUCUUUGGCAACGGCAGUGAGUGCUCUCCCUCCCUCUUUGGCGAUGACGAUGAUCAACUGAUCCACUCCAAUUGCCUGUCAAGGCAUUAGCUACUCUCUCUCCCCUCUCCUUUCCCCUCCUGUCACAGGUCCGAUCUACGACGCGAUGAAGUGUGGCAGCCACCAGCAACAUCGGCGAGGCCAGGAACCUCAGGUGUCGCUUCAAGCUAGCCGCAAGGCUGGCCGUUACCCCGUUCGCUGCCACUGUCGCCGCCUUAGGCUGGCUGCGAGGUUGACCGCUACCUCGGUCCUCGCCACUACCACCACCUCAGGCUAGCCGCGAGGCUGACCCUUGCCUCAGCCACUGUCUCAUACUGGCCGCAAGCCAUGGGUUACUUCAGGGAAGCCACUGGGAUUAAAUACCCCAGCAGAUUCGAAUCCGGCGCCACCGCCGAGCGGAUCACGCAAGGCAUCGACACCUCCCGUCUCACCGUCAUCAUCAACCGUUUGCCUCCAUCCCUUCAGUUAUCUUUUUUUAAUCUUCUGCAUUCCAUCCGUAAAUCUGGAGGAGUUGGUCAUGAGAAAUGAUUACUAGUUUAAAUAGAUAUAUUUUGUGAAAUUUUUUGUUUUCUGCAAGGAUCUGAGUUUUUUUUUUUCACACCAGAUCUUAUUGCCAGAAAAAAAAAUCGAUCUUGAUGCAAAAAAAAAAAAAAAAAAAACCAUCUUGAACAUAAAAUUCAGUUUACCAAAAAAUUUAAAUCAAUGAACUUUUUUACUGCCAUGGUAUGGUGGCAUUUAUGAGAUUCUUCUUGAAAUCCAAGUGGAAGGAGUGGUAUUGGAGCCGAGACUGUCAGGGUGUUGCCCUUAAAGGAGCUCAUGUCUAUAGAUGUUUGUUCUCGGUUGCAACUGCAUUGCUCAACUUAUGCUGUGAAAUUACUGAUGUAUUUUCAAUGGACUGCAUUUACUUUUUCUUAUUUUGAACAAGUAUAAUUUUGUAUUGAUAUAUAGGAAUUUGUAAGGACUAAAUUUUUCCAUUUUGUGGGUGAAAGUUGGAAUAAUUUUUUAAAUUGCAAGAAGUUUAAAUCAACAAAUUCUAAUAUCUAGCCAAACAGAAAAUCCCUGAUUUGAAUUGCAAGAAGUUUUCUUUUGAGAUUAGGUAAUGAAGAAUAUAUCCAUCAUGUUCUUUUCCUUUUUCUUAUCGUCUUACCUAUUGUUUCUAGGCUUUAGCUAUUUGUAGAUUACUUUAUUUUUGUUAUGCGAACAAGUUUACUUUUGAAAAAUUCAACUUCCUAGUCAUUUUCUCAUCUCAUUUUAUUCUCAUUAAGUUAAUAGUUCAUCAUUUCUAUUGAGAGGUUUACUAAUAUCAAUUUUUGUGGCACAUUUUGCACAAAUAUAGCUCAUUCAUUUUCAACCCUUAAUGUUUGGCUUCUACCAUUUGUUCUUCUAGAUAGGAAGUACUUUGCUUGUAUCUUUUUCCUUGUGUAUUUUUAAGUAUCUUGAAUGUGCUUGUCCUCAAGAAAUAAAAGAACUACAUGUAUACAUUUCUGGUAUGUUUAAUAGGCAAGACUGUUCAUAAUAAGUUCUCAUAUAUGGAUGUUUUUUCUUCUAGGAUGUUUCCUAUAAACUAGAAGAAUUUUACGUCAAAACAUGAAAAUGCAAACCAGAUGCAGGUGUAUAAAAGUUGUUAAAAUUUGUGAAAGGUUGAGGGAUCAAGAUGGUAAUGUUAUCGAGAAUACUCAAGUUGUCUUUCGUCUCCUUGAAAGCAUUAUACAUUAGCAUUGUUUUCUUUAAGUAAGCUAAAAGAAAGUUGUCAUUAAACUUGAAACUUCGAGAAAAAGUGUUUAAUAAUAUUUUAUAUUCUUUUUUGUUCUAGCCAAUUUGUUGUCCAUAUGGACUGAGACAUCGUGUUCCAUCUUCCUAUGGGAACUUAUGUAAGAAUGAAAAUUGUCUCCUCUUUCAUGUUAUGUGGCAGUGAUUCCUAGCCUGAACGGCGUGAGUGGAAAGUACUUCGCUAACAUGAACGAGGAGAAGUGAGAGACAUGGCAGGGAUGCAGCGUUAGCAACAAAACUUUGGGACUUCAGCAAGCAACUUGUGAAUUCAAAAUAAGAGAGACGAGUGUUGCUGGAUUUCUAUGUGGCUAGUUCUUCUCUUGUUUUCUAGCUGUGUGGCUUGAGAAUCUGUACUGUUAUUGUUGUUUGCAAAAUAAAGCCUAUACUGCUAUAUUUUAAAUAUAUAUGAAAUGAAGUGACCUAAUAGUUUGUAAAGCUUAAUGUUGAAUUGUGAACUGAUUGAAUCUA